Molecule: non-coding RNA, 30 nt
Filed under: Mus musculus (house mouse)
Lineage: Eukaryota; Metazoa; Chordata; Mammalia; Rodentia; Muridae
Source: RNAcentral
UAGUCAUGAAUUUAUUUAGAGCCAGAUGGU